GAGGAUGCAGCUCAGUGGAAGAGCAUCUGCUGCGCAUGCAGAAGGCCCCAGGUUCAAUUCCUCGCAUCCUGA
Podarcis lilfordi (Lilford's wall lizard) is the source of this 72-nucleotide non-coding RNA. NCBI's taxonomy places the organism in Eukaryota, Metazoa, Chordata, Lepidosauria, Squamata, Lacertidae. The record is from the annotation of a GenBank genome assembly.